RNAcentral lists this ribosomal RNA (24 nucleotides) under Cortinarius sp. CM053. RNAcentral's name for it is "partial 26S ribosomal RNA". The record is from RNAcentral. Lineage: Eukaryota; Fungi; Basidiomycota; Agaricomycetes; Agaricales; Cortinariaceae. RNAcentral also lists the same sequence under 4 other names.
GUGACCUCAAAUCAGGUAGGACUA